This 451-nucleotide ribosomal RNA is filed under the name uncultured bacterium. Its description in RNAcentral is "bacterial SSU rRNA". It matches the Rfam family "Bacterial small subunit ribosomal RNA", at positions 329 to 793 of the family's 1533-position model. The record is from RNAcentral.
GGCCAGACUCCUACGGGAGGCAGCAGUGGGGAAUAUUGGGCAAUGGGCGAAAGCCUGACCCAGCAACGCCGCGUGAAGGAAGAAGGCUUUCGGGUUGUAAACUUCUUUUGACAGGGAAGAGCAGAAGACGGUACCUGUCGAAUAAGCCACGGCUAACUACGUGCCAGCAGCCGCGGUAAUACGCAGGUGGCAAGCGUUGUCCGGAUUUACUGGGUGUAAAGGGCGUGUAGGUGGGCGCUUAAGUCAGGUGUGAAAACUCCGGGCUCAACCUGGAGACUGCACUUGAAACUGGGUGUCUUGAGGGCAGGAGAGGAAAGUGGAAUUCCUAGUGUAGCGGUGAAAUGCGUAGAUAUUAGGAGGAACACCAGUGGCGAAGGCGACUUUCUGGACUGUACCUGACGCUGAGGCGCGAAAGCGUGGGUAGCGAACGGGAUUAGAUACCCCCGUACCG